RNAcentral lists this ribosomal RNA (292 nucleotides) under uncultured bacterium. RNAcentral's name for it is "partial 16S ribosomal RNA". It matches the Rfam family "Bacterial small subunit ribosomal RNA", at positions 505 to 796 of the family's 1533-position model. The record is from RNAcentral.
GUGUCAGCAGCCGCGGUAAUACGGGGGGUGCGAGCGUUGUCCGGAAUCACUGGGCGUAAAGGGCGCGUAGGUGGUUUGAUAAGGCUGUGGUGAAAGCCCGGGGCUCAACCCCGGGUCUGCCGUGGCGACUGUCAGACUUGAGGGCUCGAGAGGCAGACGGAAUUCCGGGUGUAGCGGUGGAAUGCGUAGAGAUCCGGAAGAAGACCGGUGGCGAAGGCGGUCUGCUGGCGAGUACCUGACACUGAUGCGCGACAGCGUGGGGAGCAAACAGGAUUAGAUACCCUCGUAGUCC